GAUGAACGCUGACAGAAUGCUUAACACAUGCAAGUCAACUUGAACUUCGGUUUGUGUGGCGGGCGGGUGAGUAACGCGUAAAGAACUUGCCUCACAGAUAGGGACAACAUUUGGAAACGAAUGCUAAUACCUGAUAUUAUGAUUAUAUGGCAUCGUAUAAUUAUGAAAGCUAUAUGCGCUGUGAGAGAGCUUUGGGUCCCAUUAGCUAGUUGGAGAGGUAACGGCUCACCAAGGCGAUGAUGGGUAGCCGGCCUGAGAGGGUGAUCGGCCACAAGGGGCCUGAGACACGACCCUUACGCAUACGUGAGGAAGCAGUGGGGAAUAUUGGACAAAGGACCAAGAGUCUGAUGCAGCAAUUCUGUGUGCACGAUGAAGUUUUUCGGAAUGUAAAGUGCUUUCAGAUGGCGAGAAAAAAAUGACGGUACCAACAGAAGAAGCGACGGCUAAAUACGUG
RNAcentral lists this ribosomal RNA (454 nucleotides) under uncultured bacterium. Its description in RNAcentral is "partial 16S ribosomal RNA". It matches the Rfam family "Bacterial small subunit ribosomal RNA", at positions 28 to 507 of the family's 1533-position model. The record is from RNAcentral.